GGGGGUGUAGCUCAGUGGUUGAGUGUGUGCCUCACAUGUACAAGGUCCCAAGUUCAAUCCCUGGUAUCUCCU
RNAcentral lists this transfer RNA (72 nucleotides) under Dasypus novemcinctus (nine-banded armadillo). RNAcentral describes it as "tRNA-Val (CAC) (tRNA-Val-CAC-13-1)". It matches the Rfam family "tRNA". From Rfam's summary of the family: Transfer RNA (tRNA) molecules are approximately 80 nucleotides in length. Their secondary structure includes four short double-helical elements and three loops (D, anti-codon, and T loops). Further hydrogen bonds mediate the characteristic L-shaped molecular structure. tRNAs have two regions of fundamental functional importance: the anti-codon, which is responsible for specific mRNA codon recognition, and the 3' end, to which the tRNAs corresponding amino acid is attached (by aminoacyl-tRNA synthetases). tRNAs cope with the degeneracy of the genetic code in two manners: having more than one tRNA (with a specific anti-codon) for a particular amino acid; and 'wobble' base-pairing, i.e. permitting non-standard base-pairing at the 3rd anti-codon position. Lineage: Eukaryota; Metazoa; Chordata; Mammalia; Cingulata; Dasypodidae. The record is from RNAcentral.